GGGGGUGAUUUGGGUUCGACGAGGGUAUGGAGGCGAGGAGGUGCAUGCCGAGCAUCGUGCUGCUCGUCAAAUGCACGAGAGAAAGUAAACGCGAAUAACACAUUCGCUCUGGCUGCCUAAGACAGCCACGUCUCCCUCUGCCGUGCUCGCCGGCGGAGGAUGGGGCGUCACCUGAGCGAGCUUGGCGCUCGACUGGUGAUCAGCGGUUGAGCGCGACAUCACGCUGAUCUGGCCGAUUGAGGCGCUCGGUGCCUGGCCCCCUCAAUCGGCGAGAUACCGAUAGGCACCUAAGCAUGUAGAUCCUCCCGCUGAAGGCCCUCGGACAGCGGUUCGAUUCCGCUCACCUCCACCA
RNAcentral lists this transfer-messenger RNA (352 nucleotides) under Blastocatellia. Its description in RNAcentral is "J050 sp003696865 Standard tmRNA". It matches the Rfam family "transfer-messenger RNA". From Rfam's summary of the family: Bacterial tmRNA, also known as 10Sa RNA or SsrA, is named for its dual tRNA and mRNA-like properties. Its role is to liberate the mRNA from a stalled ribosome. Lineage: Bacteria; Pseudomonadati; Acidobacteriota. RNAcentral also lists the same sequence under 1 other name. The record is from RNAcentral.